UACGUAGGUGGCAAGCGUUAUCCGGAUUUACUGGGUGUAAAGGGCGUGUAGGCGGGACUGCAAGUCAGAUGUGAAAACCACGGGCUCAACCUGUGGCCUGCAUUUGAAACUGUAGUUCUUGAGUACUGGAGAGGCAGACGGAAUUCCUAGUGUAGCGGUGAAAUGCGUAGAUAUUAGGAGGAACACUAGUGGCGAAGGCGGUCUGCUGGACAGCAACUGACGCUGAGGCGCGAAAGCGUGGGGAGCAAACAGG
RNAcentral lists this ribosomal RNA (253 nucleotides) under uncultured bacterium. RNAcentral's name for it is "partial 16S ribosomal RNA". It matches the Rfam family "Bacterial small subunit ribosomal RNA", at positions 524 to 776 of the family's 1533-position model. The record is from RNAcentral.